ACGUACACGCGCAUGUCCGCCCAGCCGCCCCGCUGCUCGCCCUGUCUACACGUCAGGCACCGUAACCACUAGCCUCUGCUCGCUAGCGUCGUGCGCUCCUCUGCUGAAUUCGACGCUUCGCUGUCCUACGAGCUCUACCGCGCCGAACUGCCAAGCCAGUGGCCGACGUGCUCUGUCCUCACCGUCCCUGCUCGUUCCCCUACAGCAAGUUGUUGGCUCUAAGAUGCCGGGUUCCCUCCACCUAGCUCCGCCACCGGUGCUCGGCUUCAUCCGCGACGGUGUCCCGGUGUCGAGCACCUUGCCCAGCUCCGCUACUCCUGACUCGCCGGCAACCUGUGGCUCGGACUUCACCAUCGGCUCUUUGUGUGCUUCGCUGCGCCAGAUCGCCGCGUCACCGUGAAGCUAAAUGCCUUGCCUUUCGCUGCUGUUGUAGCCGAGUCGUCAUCGCCCAAGUGCUGAGCGCCCUGAACUCGCCACCGUUCUGCAGUCCCGCCGUCGGCUCACUGCUCGUCUCGCUACAUUGCCAUCGUUCACUAUCCUCGUCCUCGCCGUCUACCUCGCCGCUCCUCACGCCCAACAAGUUGUCACGCUUGGCAUGUUUCCUCCAUGCGGCCUCACGCGUUCCUCUCGCUUCAUCUGCUAGUCGUGGGGUAGUGCAGAUCACGUUGUCUGUGAAUCAAUCGAUUGGUGGAGUAAUUUUCUAGAGACUGGUCAUUACCCUGAAGACUCAUGAAAUUUUAUUUCCUUAGUCUUCAGCUCUUCUCUGCAACAAAGGCAAGCCCCGAUGCAUUCACCACUUUCCUUGUUGUUUACAAAACUUUUAUCACUUGAUAUGCUGCAUUAGGUGAUAGGAGUUACGUGAUCAAACAAUUGAUGCAUUACCAUCCUUGAGAAUUUGAAUAAUCAUUCCUUGAUACCUAUUGUAUGAAAAACUAGUGUCGCUUAGCCCUGCUUAAAGUGAUAGGAUUUUGAAAUUUAUUUUGAUUACUGAUUAUUGUUAUGUGUGAAUGAACUUGAGUUAGAUAACUAAUAUGAGACCAGGCGGGUGGCUUGCAUCGUGAAAUGAGUCGGUGUAGUGCUCCGCCUGUGUCGAUUAAGGACCGUUCGAUGUAGGCCUGUUGUGGUUGAGACUUUGCAACUAGCCACAUGCCUCGGUAAGCCUGAACCCAGCUAUUCCAUACGUGAAAAGAGAACCGCGCACUGGGCGUGGGAGAUGGUGGGAGUAGCGUGUACCCUCCUGGCUAGAGGCUGGACGGAAGAGUAUUGUGCUCCCGGGUAGCGCGGACCGGUUCACGUUGUGGAGGAUCAGUGGGAACGGUUGACAUAUGCAAGGGUUAAGUUCUACAUAUGUCGUGUGGUUAGAAAUCCUCAGCUGGGUAUAAUCGGUUCGAAUCAUCGUUGCUCCUCGGUUAUAGAGACUUGACCCUCCGACCACUCAUCGUAGUUAAUAAGUGAAACAUGAAUUGGCUAAAAGAAAGCUAGAUAGGACAAGUGAAUGCUCUAGAUCAGGAAAAUCUAGAAUCAUCUAGAAUCAGGUAAGAACUUAAAUUGAUAAUUAAAAGAUGGCCUAAGGAUCCACUAUUAGUAAGCGUUUCUGCAAAAUGAGUCCUUGAUUAUUGCUUAGUCUUAUCUUGACUCCCUCUAGCCAGUAUACCCUUGAGAGUCUUUUCUUUAGUCGGGUAAGUCUUGCUGAGUAAUUGCGUACUCAGGGUUUUAUUCCCUGUUGUUUUUCAGGUCUUAGUAUUUGUGUUGUUGAUGGUGGUGUUAAGUGCCGGUGGGCUCGGCCUUCUUAUAAGUCUAAGUAACCCUUCUAUACUUCUUAUUGAGGAUGGUCUCUUGAGCUAGCAUAUAUUUCAAACUUAUACUUUUGUAAUCACUCCGAUGAAUAUAAUGUAAAAUUUUUGUAACUUGUAAAAUUUGGUAACAAGGUUUCCGCUGCAAAAAUAUUGAUGUGUGUGAUUUGUGUUAUUUAAUCUUGCGGUCCUGGUUGUAUGUGGUUUUUUCGAUGUCCUUGGGGCAAUCGGACGGAUCCUAUUAAGUUAUCUGGUGCACAUGCAUGGCCGUCUGAGGUCUUUGAGACAAGGGCAGGUGCAUGUGGGCCCGAUAACUUGGGAGAUUCCGCCAUAGUCGCUCUUUCUACCGCCGAAGACGAGUAUAUUGCCACAGGCCAUUGUUGCGCGCAAUUGCUUUGGAUGAGGCAAACCCUUAGGGACUAUGACUACAAAUUUAGCAAAGUCCCUCUCCUAUGUGACAAUGAGAGUGCAAUCCACAUGGCGGAUAAUCCCGUUGAACACAGUCGCACUAAGCACAUAGCCAUUCGGUAUCACUUUCUGAGAGAUCACCAACAAAGGGGGAUACCGAGAUAGCCUAUAUCAACACCAAAGAUCAAUUGGACGAUAUCUUUACCAAGCCUUUAGAUGAGAAAACCUUUACCAAACUUAGGAAUAAGCUAAAUAUUCUUGAUUCUAGGAAUUUUGGUUGAUUCUUUGCACACAUAGCUUAUUUAUAUACCUUUGAUCAUAUCUCUUUUAUGUCUAUGACUAAUGUGUUUUAAAGUGUAUUAUUAUGCUUAGUCAUAGAAUUGAAAGGGAAAUGGAGUAUUCGGCAAAGACGACGCUUCCACUCAACUCCAUCGGUAUUAUCUACUCUUUGCCGGUAUUCCGCAUAAUUCUCCACUAUAAUCCUCACUCAUAUCUAUUUAUUUGCCAUUGGGGAGAAAGCAAAAGGGCUUAUAUUUCACUCACAAGUAUCCGUUUUUGGCGAUUCAUGCCAAAGGGGGAGAAAGUAUUAGCCCAAAGCAAAAGGACCGCACCACCACCAAAUUUUAAAAUGAAGUUUUCAAAUUGAUAUCUUAAUGUGUUUUCAAAAGGGGAGAAAGUAUCUUCAAAAAUUUGUAAAACUCUCUUGAACACUAAAAGGAGAAUUUCAUUGAGGGGGAGUUUUGUUUUAGUCAAAGAAAAAAGCAUUUAAAACAGGGGGAGAAAAUUUCAAAUCUUGAAAAUGCUUCUUUCAAUCUUAUUCAUAUAUCUAUUUGCAAAAGUUUUUGAAAAGAAUUUUACAAAGAAUUUGCAAAAACAAAACUCGUGGUGCAAGCGUGGUCCAAAAUUUUUAUAAUAAGAAAACCAUCCAUGCAUAUCUAGUAGAAAUAAUUAUUGGUUUCAUUCCAAGCAACCUUUGCACUUACCUUAUGCAAACUAGUUCAAUUCUACACUUUUAUAUUUGCUUUGGUUUGUGUUGGCAUCAAUCACCAAAAAGGGGGAGAUUGAAAGGGAAAUAGGGUCAAACCUUUUCCUAAAUGAUUUUGGUGGUUGAAUUGCCCAACACAAAUUAUUGGACUAACUAGUUUGCUCUAGAUUAUGAGUUCUACAGGUGCCAAAGGUUCAACAUAAACCAAUAAAAAGUCCAAGAAAGGGUUAAAAUAAAAGAGCAAAAGACAACCGAAGGCUGCCUUGGUCUGGCGCACCGGACAGUGUCCAGUGCACCACCGGACAGUGUCUGGUGCACCAGGGAGAUCGACUCUGAACUGCUCAGCUUCGGGAAUUUGGGGAGCCCCUCCGCUAUAAUUCACCGGACUGUCCGGUGUAGCACCGGACUGUCCGGUGUGCCAGCGGAGCAACGACUAUCUGCACCAACGGUCGUCUGCAAAAUGUCUACAGUGAACUGAACAGUGCAACUGCGCGCGCAGAAGUCAGAGCAGGCGGCAGAAGGCGCACCUGACAGUGAAGAGAACCUGUCCGGUGCACCACCGGACUGUCCGGUGGCCCCACAAGUCAGAGCUCCAACGGUCGAACUCUAACGGUUGGGUGACGUGGCUGGCGCACCGGACAGUGUCCGGUGGCGCACCGAACUGUCCGGUGCGCCAUACGACAGCAGCCCCUCCCAACGGCCACUUUGGUGGUUGGGGCUAUAAAUACCCUCCAAGCACCACACUUCAAGGCAUCCAAGUUUUUAGCCAACACAUUCAAUACAAGAGCUAUAACAUUCAAUUCAAGACACAAUUAGAGUGAAUCAACAUCUCUCCAAGCCCCAAUUCCACUCAAAGCAAUAGUGACUAGAAGAGAGAGUUUUGCCGUGUUCAUUUGAGCUCUUGCGCUUGGAUCGCUUUUCUUCUUCCUUCUUUCUUGUUCCCAACUCAAUUGUAAUCAAGGCAAGAGACACCAAUUGUGUGGUGGUCCUUGUGGGGACUUAGUGUCCUGAUUGAUUGAGAAGAGAAGCUCACUCGGUCUAGGUGACCGUUUGAGAGAGGGAAAGGGUUGAAAGAGACCCGGUCUUUGUGACCACCUCAACGGGGAGUAGGUUUGCAA
Long non-coding RNA from Zea mays, 4304 nucleotides. RefSeq lists it as uncharacterized. NCBI's taxonomy places the organism in Eukaryota, Viridiplantae, Streptophyta, Magnoliopsida, Poales, Poaceae. The record is from RefSeq and is a predicted model, not a curated record. The transcript is spliced from 3 exons.